Plectropomus leopardus (leopard coralgrouper) is the source of this 330-nucleotide non-coding RNA. NCBI's taxonomy places the organism in Eukaryota, Metazoa, Chordata, Actinopteri, Perciformes, Serranidae. The record is from RefSeq and is a predicted model, not a curated record.
AAAUGAAAUUUUUUAAAGCUUGUUGCAUAGCGCGAUAUGACUGUGUGUCCACCAGCAGAGACUGGGAUCAUGGACGAGCCCAGCUGGACCAGAUCAGCAAUCAAGGUGUCCGACUGGGAAAAGACUCACUGCACAUGAGAAAGAGCAGCUGAGGACAAAUCUACCAGGUGACAGGAUCCCUGCUGAUGCUUCAGACAGAUACCUCAUCGAGCUGGCUGCGACACCACAGUGUGAGAGAGUCGGGGGUGACAGCAUGGCCGCAGGACAUCUCUGCUCUCAGACAGUCAUCAUCAUCAUCAUCAUCACACAGAGGAUCCAGGUCGUCCCUCC